ACGCUGGCGGCAGGCCUAACACAUGCAAGUCGAGCGGUAGAGAGAAGCUUGCUUCUCUUGAGAGCGGCGGACGGGUGAGUAAUGCCUAGGAAUCUGCCUGGUAGUGGGGGAUAACGUCCGGAAACGGGCGCUAAUACCGCAUACGUCCUACGGGAGAAAGCAGGGGACCUUCGGGCCUUGCGCUAUCAGAUGAGCCUAGGUCGGAUUAGCUAGUUGGUGGGGUAAUGGCUCACCAAGGCGACGAUCCGUAACUGGUCUGAGAGGAUGAUCAGUCACACUGGAACUGAGACACGGUCCAGACUCCUACGGGAGGCAGCAGUGGGGAAUAUUGGACAAUGGGCGAAAGCCUGAUCCAGCCAUGCCGCGUGUGUGAAGAGGGUCUUCGGAUUGUAAAGCACUUUAAGUUGGGAGGAAGGGCAGUAAAUUAAUACUUUGCUGUUUUGACGUUACCGACAGAAUAAGCACCGGCUAACUCUGUGCCAGCAGCCGCGGUAAUACAGAGGGUGCAAGCGUUAAUCGGAAUUACUGGGCGUAAAGCGCGCGUAGGUGGUUCGUUAAGUUGGAUGUGAAAUCCCCGGGCUCAACCUGGGAACUGCAUUCAAAACUGACGAGCUAGAGUAUGGUAGAGGGUGGUGGAAUUUCCUGUGUAGCGGUGAAAUGCGUAGAUAUAGGAAGGAACACCAGUGGCGAAGGCGACCACCUGGACUGAUACUGACACUGAGGUGCGAAAGCGUGGGGAGCAAAC
This 745-nucleotide ribosomal RNA is filed under the name uncultured bacterium. Its description in RNAcentral is "bacterial SSU rRNA". It matches the Rfam family "Bacterial small subunit ribosomal RNA", at positions 33 to 773 of the family's 1533-position model. The record is from RNAcentral.